Molecule: ribosomal RNA, 497 nt
Filed under: uncultured bacterium
Lineage: Bacteria
Description: partial 16S ribosomal RNA
Rfam family: Bacterial small subunit ribosomal RNA
Source: RNAcentral
GGGGGGGGGGGGCGGGGGGCGGGGGGGGGGGGGGGCGGGGGGGCGGACGGGGAGCGUGCGUCUGUGAGGUGGGCGGGGGACGGGUGAGUAACACGUGGAUAACCUACCUAUAAGACUUGGAUAACUGCGGGACAGCGGAGCUAAUACCGGAUCAUAGUGUGAACCGCAUUGUUCAAGAGUGAGGGACGGUCUUGCUGUCACUUCUAGCUGGAUCCGCGCUGCCUUAGCUAGUUGGUUAGGUAACGGCUUACCAAGGUACCGAUGCAGAGCCGACCUGAGAGGGUGAUCGGCCACCAUGGAACUGAGACACGGUCCAGACUCCAACGGGAGGCAGCAGUAGGGAAUCUUCCGCAAUUGGCGAAAGCCUGACGGAGCAACGCCGCGUGAGUGAUGAAGGUCUUCGGAUCGUAAAACUCUGUUAUUAGGGAAGAACAUAUGUGUAAGUAACUGUGCACAUCUUGACGGUACCUAAUCAGAAAGCCACGGCUAACUACGUG